RNAcentral lists this long non-coding RNA (233 nucleotides) under Lathyrus oleraceus (garden pea). Its description in RNAcentral is "Pisum sativum (pea) long non-coding RNA (PSAT_LNC015608)". The record is from RNAcentral. Lineage: Eukaryota; Viridiplantae; Streptophyta; Magnoliopsida; Fabales; Fabaceae.
GCACGACACGCAGGUCGUAUUUUAAAACCCAAAACAAAAUAAAGGAAAACUAAGGCCAUAACCGAUCACCACAAGACAAUAAUAAACACAUUAUUAUUAUUAUCAAUUUUAAUUCUUUUAAUCAAUUAAAACCAAAUUAAAUCUCGACGACCGAUCACAUUACGCAGAGUUAGCCGAACGGGUGAAUUUUGCCUUGCGUUAACCGGUUAACCAAAUGCGUUAACUGGUUAACA